ACACUUACCUGACAGGGGAGAUAACAUGAUCACGAAGAUGGUUUUCCCAGGGAAAGACUUUUCCAUUGUACUCCGGAUGUGCUGACCCCUGCAGUAUCCCCAAAUGAAGGAAGCUCAACUGCAUAAUUUGUGCAAGUGGAGAACUAUGUUUGCACUUUCCCCUA
This 164-nucleotide small nuclear RNA is filed under the name Carlito syrichta (Philippine tarsier). RNAcentral describes it as "U1 spliceosomal RNA (ENSTSYG00000030222.1)". It matches the Rfam family "U1 spliceosomal RNA". From Rfam's summary of the family: U1 is a small nuclear RNA (snRNA) component of the spliceosome (involved in pre-mRNA splicing). Its 5' end forms complementary base pairs with the 5' splice junction, thus defining the 5' donor site of an intron. Lineage: Eukaryota; Metazoa; Chordata; Mammalia; Primates; Tarsiidae. The record is from Rfam by way of RNAcentral.